AACGAACGCUGGCGGCAGGCUUAACACAUGCAAGUCGAACGGUUGUAGCAAUACAGCAGUGGCGCACGGGUGAGUAACGCGUGGAUAUCUGCCUUUUGGUUCGGAAUAACUCCGGGAAACUGGAGCUAAUACCGGAUGGUUCCUACGGGAUAAAGAUUUAUCGCCAAAAAGAUGAGUCCGCGUACGAUUAGCUAGUUGGUGAGGUAAUGGCUCACCAAGGCGACGAUCGUUAGCUGGUCUGAGAGGACGAUCAGCCACACUGGGACUGAGACACGGCCCAGACUCCUACGGGAGGCAGCAGUGGGGAAUAUUGGACAAUGGGGGCAACCCUGAUCCAGCCAUGCCGCGUGAGUGGUGAAGGCCUUCGGGUUGUAAAGCUCUUUUGGCGGGGACGAUGAUGACGGUACCCGCAGAAUAAGCCCCGGCUAACUUCGUGCCAGCAGCCGCGGUAAU
Molecule: ribosomal RNA, 453 nt
Filed under: uncultured bacterium
Lineage: Bacteria
Description: bacterial SSU rRNA
Rfam family: Bacterial small subunit ribosomal RNA
Source: RNAcentral